RNAcentral lists this transfer RNA (63 nucleotides) under Pinnotheres pholadis. Its description in RNAcentral is "tRNA-Cys". Lineage: Eukaryota; Metazoa; Arthropoda; Malacostraca; Decapoda; Pinnotheridae. The record is from RNAcentral.
AAUCCUAUAGUAUAUAAAUAAUAUUAAAUUGCAAAUUUAAAGAUGUGAGAUUCACUAGGAUUU